ACUACUUAGUGAGAACUCCUUAACUAGAAGACUAACAACUUAAAGCUUUAUCCCUGUGAGUACCAGAAAAGUGAUCUGAGUAUUUAUUAAACAGAGAGAACAAACUGCCUACUUCAGGCAGGGAGGAAGCGUAUGGAAAUUAUAUUAGAACUUCAGCAAAGUGCAGAGCUGCAUAAUACAGAAGCUGGGACUCAAAUUGACAGGCUAAUAAGCCAGCUCACUGAAGGGGGCUCUGUGUGGCAGCUCUGAGCUGCUGAGUGUUGGACAACUGUAGGCAAAAUGUGAAAUGGAACAGGGCAGAAAAUAACACACUAACUUCAGGCAACUGUUGCUUUCUCAUGGUCUUCAGGGAUUUUACAUUGUGUAGCUGGCAAAACAAGUCCCCAUUUAACUACUAAGCUUACUACCCAAAUGGAAAACUCAGCUGCUGGAAUCCAUAUUGAGGACUUGUAUCAUGGCCCUAAUACUGUGAAGUACUUGUUCCCUGGAACUGCCAGAGCCUGUUCAGCAUGACACCUUGCUUUGCUGGUGAUGUCACAUGCAGCACUGACUAUAAUUGGAGAAUUGAACCUGUCUGUGGGGGCAAGGUAUAUGGCUGCCGUUAUGACUUUUGCAAAAAGAUCCUUUUUGUUUCACAGAUUAGGGAACCAGACAAGACUAUUUUAGACGCACGCUUAUUGUGAUAUCCUCAGUGCUUGUUAUCGUAUAUUCUUCAUAGGUCUGCCCACUAUGAUAAAUCGUACAGGAAAAAUUAAAACGGACAUGAAAAAUGAAGAAGUUGGUUAUACCAGAAAUCACUGAAGGAAAUGUGAAUCGUAAAAUGAGAGCUAAAAGACUCUGCUUCAGUGGCUGAGACUGACAGCUCUGCCUUCCUGCUGUUGCAUGUGGGAGAAAACUGUGGAUGCAAAAUGUAAAAACACAAGGGAGAUUUUGUGCAACUCCAGUAUGCAUAUAAAGCUGAACCGCUUCCUGAAGAGCACUGAAUUUUCUAUACCAGAUUCUACUUCAGUGGCCAGGACCUUUGUGGCCACUGAUUCUUUUGCUCUGGGUUCUGAAAAAACAUCGUGGAUCCAUCCCUAAAGUAGAAAUGUUAUUUUCCGUCCCGCAAGCAAGGCUAAAGAUUGGAGGAGAAUGAAUGUGAAUCUAAUUCAGGAUUGCGGUCGUGCCAUUCAAAGUUUUCAGCUUCAGAACAAAAUGAUUUGGGAAAUAUCAGUGUUCUUACUCUAUCAACAAUGUUUAAAAGUUGUAGGUGGUUCAAGUGACUUGACUCAAAUAAUGACAAUCUUUGCAUGUCAAUAAUUUCUACAGUUUAAGGAGUGAAAGGUAGUUUUGAGUUUGGAAAAGAAGAAGCUGUUACUAUCAGCCUGUAGUGGGAUUAAAUGUUGAAUAUGGGGAAGAGGCAAAAAGUAAAUAGAUGCCCGAAACUUAUCCUGGCACUGAGGAUGGGUUUAAAGUGCUGUAUAUCCUAGGGCCCACCUUACUGUAGAGGUAUAAUGGGGAAAUAUUUCAAUUAGAAGCCCAUUAUCAAGCAUUUAAUCCUUCUUUAAGGCAUUAGAGGAAAUAGAAUAAAACAUUUACUGUACAAAUCUGCUGCAAGCAGACUUUAACCCACUUAUAGACUUAUCCUUCUGAUGGAUUAUACUAUGGCUACUCAUGAGUCAGAAUAGUAAACAUUUUAUUUGUACUCCUUUUUUCCAAAGUUGUGGAAUCUGUUCUAAGAAGUGUCUUGAUCAAUCAGCUGAUAUUAUUGUUUUGAAUGUAUGUGUCUAUAUUGCCUACUUAUUUGGUCUUUUCCAACCCCUACUUGAAAAGCUGGGGUUUUUUAUACAACAGCAACAAAAGUUUUACUGAAUGUAAUCUUGACGACUAAGUGAUUCAGAUUAUUUGAAGACGAAUUCUACUGGAUCAUAUCGGACUUUUCCUAGUCCCUGAGACCCUAACUUGUGAGGUUUUUUAGCAACAAUCACAAGUCAGGCUCUUGGGACCUAGGCGGAGGGGAACCAGCAGCUUUGGACUUUAUUGAUUGUUUAUCUGCAAUAUUAACAGAACCAAAGGAGAUUUUCUUAUCUGGGGGAAAAUAUUUAUUUCAGAUGUUAAGCACUAGUUUUAUGCUACAAAAAAAAUUGUUGCUAUGUAUUGUACAAUAUCAAGAUUCUACAUAAUUUGUAUGUUUGGAAACCUAUAUUGUAGUGGAUAACAUGUAACAUUUAGAAUUAAAAUGUAAAUGAAUGACAUAUCUACAUAAAAAAUCAGAUACUGAAGGAUAAAUGCACUGUUUUCAACCAUAAUUUUGCUAUUAUGGAUCCUUCUGGUGGAUAAUCAAAACAAAACACAUUUCCAAAUGUAUUGCUAUAAUAUUUAAUGAACUUUUUGAAACUUACAGAUUAUACAUUGAUCUGUGAGGCCUAGCAAAUGGAUUCAUCCUGUUGCCUUUGGGGUAAUAAUGUGAGCGUGCAAGAAAAUUGUUGCUUCUCUUUUCCUGUAAGGCAGUGCAGAGAUUCCUUUGUAGUUGUUACUAUUUCUCUUAGCCUAUAUAAUAAUACAAUAAAGAUUCUCUCAUUUGGUGUAUUAACCCCUUACUCUGAAAGAAAAGAGAAAGCUAGUGUCAAAUUCAUAAUGCUGUGUUGAAGUCACUUUGCCCACAGAACUACAUACUUUUCAUGUACAUACUGUAUCUCAGCAGAGAAGACAGGACACCGGGAAUUAAGCUCAAACUUUAGUCUCUUCCCUCACUUUUACUUUUCACUUAUAAAAACAGACUAACUGUUGUGUUGUCCCCAUAUGCUGAAUACUUCAAUGACUUCAACAUGAGAUCUGCCAGGACACAGCUAAUUUGUAAUGUUUGUCACUCCUAAAGUGCUGAACCAGAACACAAAGAAUUUGACUGUAUUUCUUAAUAUUUUAUAAGUAGUUUGGUCCUGAUUAAUUUUUUUUUCAAUUUCUUGUAUCUAACCCAAGAUGGUACAGCACCCUGUUAUUAGUGUACUAAUGUCACACUUCACUGAUUGAAACAAAUGCUUUACUUAGGGCAAGCAUCUAAACAAUUUGGUCAUUUUGAAACUGAUAUUUUGGCUCCAGUUUAUUUUUUCCACAUAUGUGGGAGGAAUUGUGUUUCAUUGUAACGCUAUUGUUAAAAUAAAUUAUUAUUAAACAUCAGAAUAAUUCAA
Chelonia mydas (Green sea turtle) is the source of this 3167-nucleotide long non-coding RNA. RefSeq lists it as uncharacterized. NCBI's taxonomy places the organism in Eukaryota, Metazoa, Chordata, Testudines, Cheloniidae. The transcript is spliced from 10 exons. The record is from RefSeq and is a predicted model, not a curated record.